RNAcentral lists this small nucleolar RNA (84 nucleotides) under Helianthus annuus (common sunflower). RNAcentral describes it as "Plant small nucleolar RNA R71". It matches the Rfam family "Plant small nucleolar RNA R71", at positions 1 to 84 of the family's 107-position model. From Rfam's summary of the family: R71 is a member of the C/D box family of snoRNAs containing the C (UGAUGA) and D (CUGA) box motifs. Multiple nearly identical copies of this snoRNA have been identified in Arabidopsis, and it is thought to function as a 2'-O-ribose methylation guide for 18S ribosomal RNA. The record is from RNAcentral. Lineage: Eukaryota; Viridiplantae; Streptophyta; Magnoliopsida; Asterales; Asteraceae.
AGACCAUGAUGCGGACAUUUUCUUAAUAGCUCCUUGAAUCUUUCCCAAGUUUCAUAUAAGGAUUCCCCGUCCUCUUGUGAGUAU